CCCACCAUAUUAUGUUGUUGACCAAGUUUUGGGCUCAAUUCGAUAUCGAUUGAACUAAGAAUAUGGAAAAUUCAAGUUUGUACAAAGUUUGUUCUGUAAAUGUAGUGGUUAGUGUAUUGCAUAGUUUUAGCGACUGGAUUUCCCUCAAAACACACCAAUUAACUCCUCCCCCCACACUAUGACGUUGCCCAUAUUUUGGGCUCAGUCUGAUAUUGAUUGGCCAAAGAAAUUGGACAAUUCAAGUUCUUACAAAGUUCGUUCCGUAAAUGGAGUAGUUGGUGUAUUGCACAGUUUUAGCCAAUGGAUUUCAUUGAAAAAUCACG
Molecule: long non-coding RNA, 323 nt
Filed under: Prunus persica (peach)
Lineage: Eukaryota; Viridiplantae; Streptophyta; Magnoliopsida; Rosales; Rosaceae
Description: long non-coding RNA (PPER_LNC004635)
Source: RNAcentral